UACGUAGGGUGCAAGCGUUGUCCGGAAUUAUUGGGCGUAAAGAGCUCGUAGGCGGUCUGUCGCGUCGGCUGUGAAAACCUGGGGCUUAACUCCGGGCUUGCAGCCGAUACGGGCAGACUAGAGUUCGGCAGGGGGAGACUGGAAUUCCUGGUGUAGCGGUGAAAUGCGCAGAUAUCAGGAGGAACACCGGUGGCGAAGGCGGGUCUCUGGGCAUUGACCUGACGCUGAGGAGCGAAAGUGUGGGGAGCGAACAGG
This 255-nucleotide ribosomal RNA is filed under the name uncultured bacterium. RNAcentral's name for it is "partial 16S ribosomal RNA". It matches the Rfam family "Bacterial small subunit ribosomal RNA", at positions 524 to 776 of the family's 1533-position model. The record is from RNAcentral.